AAAAUGGCAACCAUAUCAGUCUUCAAUGCUUUUUUAAUUAGCUAUGUUUGUUUCAGUUCAAGAAUGUUUUUUGAAAUAUUUGCAAUGGAAUCAUAUACAAGGUUUUGCAGGUAAAUCCAGAAAUAAUUAAUGCAGGAAUUUUUGCUAUUUUUGGUUGGGCGGUAAUUUGGCUAUACUUGCACGUGACAUGGUAGUGACCUUGGUAGACUAGGCAUUCACAAAAUGGCCGCUGUGUCAUCAGCAUGUGCAGAGCAUGAUCGGAGAGUGGCUAUACUCGAUUCUCUUCGUGCCGGAAAGUUGUCGCGGGAAAUAAUCAAGUGGUUUGGUUACAAGAUGCAUGUUUAUGACCUAGCGAAGAGGUUCAAGAAGUCUGAGACGGAGGAAGUCACUCCUGACCGGGUGAAACAUCAAAAGUGGUCUGACUGUAAAGGCAGUUUAGUCGCUACUUUUAUUUUAGAACUCAACUCGCUGAUUUUAAUGCAUAGCAAAUCACUGUCACUGGCUAUGUGAAACCAACUUAAGAGGAAUGACAAAUUUGUCACCAAUGGAAGCCAGCGAUUUGCGAGAAGAAACAUGCGAUUAUCGUAGUUAUUUUGCCGCAGACACUAUCACGA
This 614-nucleotide long non-coding RNA is filed under the name Androctonus crassicauda. The record is from RNAcentral. Lineage: Eukaryota; Metazoa; Arthropoda; Arachnida; Scorpiones; Buthidae.